ACUCGGAAUUCCUGAUGUAAAAGCAGAUCUUACAGACAAGUACUUCUUAAGAAUUGAGAACGGGGAAGCGAAAGCAACAUUUUGUGAAGAUCCUUUUAAGUUAACAGUUACAGAUUCUCCUUGGACUCCCAGCAUUGUUGUUUUUGGAAGUGAUCUGAAGGAGCGUCAGUCUGUCACUAUAACCUGCUCAGCUCAUACUCCCUGUUUACCUUCACCUCCUGAACUCACCUGGAAUCUCAAAAAAGACACUCUCGGACAAAUACUGAAAAAGACUGAUGGAACCUUUACAACUAAACUCCAGGAGACCAUCACUCUGUCAGACAAGCAUGAUGGAUACAACAUCAGCUGUACUGCUAGAUAUCCUGUGAAAGGAGGAUUCAAACAGGUAGAGUCAGUAAGGACUCUCAGUGUUUCAUAUGCUCCUAAAGACACCUCAGCAACCAUCAGUCCAUCAGGUUUGGUGUCAAAAGGUAUCAGGGUGGCGUUGAGCUGCUCCAGCAGAGGCAACCCUCCCAUUACCAGCUACACCUGGUUCACGCACAGCAAACG
Xiphophorus hellerii (green swordtail) is the source of this 549-nucleotide long non-coding RNA. RefSeq lists it as uncharacterized. The transcript is spliced from 3 exons. Lineage: Eukaryota; Metazoa; Chordata; Actinopteri; Cyprinodontiformes; Poeciliidae. The record is from RefSeq and is a predicted model, not a curated record.